This 497-nucleotide ribosomal RNA is filed under the name uncultured bacterium. RNAcentral's name for it is "partial 16S ribosomal RNA". It matches the Rfam family "Bacterial small subunit ribosomal RNA", at positions 28 to 507 of the family's 1533-position model. The record is from RNAcentral.
GAUGAACGCUGGCGGCGUGCCUAAUACAUGCAAGUCGAGCGAACAGAUGAGGAGCUUGCUCCUCUGACGUUAGCGGCGGACGGGUGAGUAACACGUGGAUAACCUACCUAUAAGACUGGGAUAACUUCGGGAAACCGGAGCUAAUACCGGAUAAUAUAUUGAACCGCAUGGUUCAAUAGUGAAAGACGGUUUUGCUGUCACUUAUAGAUGGAUCCGCGCCGCAUUAGCUAGUUGGUAAGGUAACGGCUUACCAAGGCAACGAUGCGUAGCCGACCGGAGGGGGUGGUGGGCCGCCAGGAAAGGGAGGCGCGCCCGAGCCGACUGGGGGGGGCAGCAGAAGGGUAGGGUACGGAAUGGUGGGAGGAGUGACGGGGCAGCGCCGGGGGGUUAAGGAUGGUCUCCGUAUGGUAAAGAACGUUUUUGGGGGGAGAAGAAGGGUGUGCUAAAAUUGGUGGGGUUGACGGUAACCAGGUCAGAAAGCGCCGGCUAACUACGUG